Molecule: ribosomal RNA, 241 nt
Filed under: uncultured bacterium
Lineage: Bacteria
Description: partial 16S ribosomal RNA
Rfam family: Bacterial small subunit ribosomal RNA
Source: RNAcentral
CCGGCGCACGGGUGAGUAACACGUAUCCAACCUGCCGUCUACUCUUGGCCAGCCCUCUGAAAGGAAGAUUAAUCCAGGAUGGGAUCAUGAGUUCACAUGUCCGCAUGAUUAAAGGUAUUUUCCGGUAGACGAUGGGGAUGCGUUCCAUUAGAUAGUAGGCGGGGUAACGGCCCACCUAGUCAACGAUGGAUAGGGGUUCUGAGAGGAAGGUCCCCCACAUUGGAACUGAGACACGGUCCAA